CGUUGCCAAGGCGCCGGUUACUAGGUUACCGGGAGGCGCCGGGCGCCCGACUCCCUCCCGGUCAGCCCUUUCAGCCCAGCGCUGCCCUUUCGCCGGUGCGACGGGGCUUCCUGAGGCCGGGGGAAGCAAGAGAGGCCGGGUCACCCCCUGCAGCGGCCAGUCAUCGUUACAAACUAAAGUCCCACGGCGAAAGCCAGUUCCAGCUACCCCCAAAGUUCAAACACUUAGAGUUCGAAGGAACAGAGAGCCUCCAGCGCGGAAAAACCUCGAGGGAAAACAACCCGAAAUGACGGGGCCAGGUCUUGAAUAUAGAUGCCCUAGGAAAAAAAAAGGCUCGAAAUAAGCUGGGAGGCAAAACCUACUCAAGAAUCGGCUGGUGUGACUAUACCCGCGAGGGCUGAUUUCAUGCGUCCACGUGACUGGACUCUGGCCGCCCAGAGAGCCGGAAUAGAAUCAUCUCAUGAAACUGAAGACUUGACAAAGUGUUCUCAGCCUAGUGGUAAAGCACACAGACUUUGGAGUCUCAAACCGCUUUUUAGCUUCAACACUGCUAUGUGUUAUGUGAUCUUGGAUAAAUUAUUUAACUUCUUGAACCUUGAUUUUUCUUGACUAUACAGAGGGGAUAUCAAUAAUACCUAUGUCAUAAGAAUUAUUUCAUAAUUAAAUUUAAUUAAAUUAAAUGAGAUAAAAAUAACAAAAAUAACAACUAAGGAACCUAUGCACUUUGUGUAUAUUAUCUUUUUUUUUUUUUUUAAAGAUGUUAUUUAUUUAUUUGACAGAGAGAGAGAUCACAAGUAGGCAGAGAGGCAGGCAGAGAAAGAGAGGGAAAGCAGGCUCCCUGCCAAGUCAAGAGCCUGACUUGGGGCUGAAUCCCAGGACGCUGACUGAGCCGAAGGCAGAGGCUUUAACCCACUGAGCCACCAAGAUGCCCCUGUACAUAUUAUCUUAUUAUCUUAUUGAAUCUUAUUGAAUAUCUACAUAUUACUUAUUGAAUCUUCAUAACCUAUUUUAUGAAGAGAUUUGUAUCAUAAUACCUAAUUAUUUAAUUACUAAUUACUCAAUAAACAUUAGCAGUUUUCUGUUAGUAUUUUGAUGGGAAUGAAGACUAAUAAGAGAAACAAUGAAAAAACUCGGGAACAUUCUGGUUAUUCUGAGACUAGAUUGGUGAUAUCCCCUGUCCCCCUAUUACACAUAGUCUUGAACCUGAAAUAAACAGAAAAAAGUCA
This is a long non-coding RNA of Mustela lutreola (European mink), 1226 nucleotides long. RefSeq lists it as uncharacterized. The record is from RefSeq and is a predicted model, not a curated record. The transcript has 3 exons. NCBI's taxonomy places the organism in Eukaryota, Metazoa, Chordata, Mammalia, Carnivora, Mustelidae.